RNAcentral lists this ribosomal RNA (443 nucleotides) under uncultured bacterium. RNAcentral's name for it is "SSU rRNA". It matches the Rfam family "Bacterial small subunit ribosomal RNA", at positions 26 to 518 of the family's 1533-position model. The record is from RNAcentral.
AGAACGAACGCUGGCGGCAGGCUUAACACAUGCAAGUCGAGCGCUGUAGCAAUACAGAGCGGCAGACGGGUGAGUAACGCGUGGGAACAUACCCUCCGGUUCGGAAUAACUCAGGGAAACUUGAGCUAAUACCGAAUACGGUCGAGAGGCGAAAGAUUUAUCGCCGGAGGAUUGGCCCGCGUUCGAUUAGCUAGUUGGUGAGGUAACGGCUCACCAAGGCGACGAUCGAUAGCUGGUCUGAGAGGAUGAUCAGCCACAUUGGGACUGAGACACGGCCCAAACUCCUACGGGAGGCAGCAGUGGGGAAUAUUGGACAAUGGGCGAAAGCCUGAUCCAGCCAUGCCGCGUGAGUGAUGACGGCCUUAGGUUGUAAGCUCUUUCGCUAGGGACAUAAUGACGGUACCUAGACAAGAAGCCCCGGCUAACUUCGUGCCAGCAGCCGC